This 526-nucleotide ribosomal RNA is filed under the name Bifidobacterium bifidum. RNAcentral's name for it is "bacterial SSU rRNA". It matches the Rfam family "Bacterial small subunit ribosomal RNA", at positions 161 to 699 of the family's 1533-position model. The record is from RNAcentral. Lineage: Bacteria; Bacillati; Actinomycetota; Actinomycetes; Bifidobacteriales; Bifidobacteriaceae.
UGGUAAUGCCGGAUGUUCCACAUGAUCGCAUGUGAUUGUGGGAAAGAUUCUAUCGGCGUGGGAUGGGGUCGCGUCCUAUCAGCUUGUUGGUGAGGUAACGGCUCACCAAGGCUUCGACGGGUAGCCGGCCUGAGAGGGCGACCGGCCACAUUGGGACUGAGAUACGGCCCAGACUCCUACGGGAGGCAGCAGUGGGGAAUAUUGCACAAUGGGCGCAAGCCUGAUGCAGCGACGCCGCGUGAGGGAUGGAGGCCUUCGGGUUGUAAACCUCUUUUGUUUGGGAGCAAGCCUUCGGGUGAGUGUACCUUUCGAAUAAGCGCCGGCUAACUACGUGCCAGCAGCCGCGGUAAUACGUAGGGCGCAAGCGUUAUCCGGAUUUAUUGGGCGUAAAGGGCUCGUAGGCGGCUCGUCGCGUCCGGUGUGAAAGUCCAUCGCUUAACGGUGGAUCUGCGCCGGGUACGGGCGGGCUGGAGUGCGGUAGGGGAGACUGGAAUUCCCGGUGUAACGGUGGAAUGUGUAGAUAUCG